Molecule: ribosomal RNA, 494 nt
Filed under: uncultured bacterium
Lineage: Bacteria
Description: partial 16S ribosomal RNA
Rfam family: Bacterial small subunit ribosomal RNA
Source: RNAcentral
GACGAACGCUGGCGGCGUGCUUAACACAUGCAAGUCGAACGGAAAGGCCUGUCCUUCCUUGUGUUGGACGGGUACUCGAGUGGCGAACGGGUGAGUAACACGUGAGUGAUCUGCCCCCAACUUGGGUAUAAGCCUGGGAAACUGGGUCUAAUUCCCGAUAGGACUGCAGGGUGGUGCCUGUGGUGGAAAACGAUUUUCUAGUGGUUGGGGAUAAGCUCGCGGCCUAUCAGCUUGUUGGUGGGGUAAUGGCCUACCAAGGCGGCGACGGGUAGCCGGCCUGGGAGGGUGGACGGCCACAUUGGGACUGGGAUACGGCCCAGACUCCUACGGGAGGCAGCAGUGGGGAAUAUUGCACAAUGGGCGGAAGCCUGAUGCAGCGACGCCGCGUGGGGGAUGACGGCCUUCGGGUUGUAAACUCCUUUCGACCGCGAGGAAGCCGCCUGGUUGGAAGGGUGGUGACGGUAGUGGUAGAAGAAGCACCGGCUAACUACGUG